Alligator mississippiensis (American alligator) is the source of this 1227-nucleotide long non-coding RNA. RefSeq lists it as uncharacterized. The record is from RefSeq and is a predicted model, not a curated record. The transcript is spliced from 5 exons. Lineage: Eukaryota; Metazoa; Chordata; Crocodylia; Alligatoridae.
GUUUCUCACAUUAACAUACAAUGUUUUUCUGUUGCAGUAGUGAACAUUAACUCUUCAACAGUCUUCCUGUGGAGAUUUGGAGUACUGCAGAUCAAAGACAAGUCAAGGAAAAAAUAACAUCCCAGAGGACUCAGGGUGUAACCUAGUGAAUCCAACAGCAACACGAGCAUAUGUGAAAAGCAGAGCUAAUAUCAAAGCUAACAAGUUGGCAGAUGGACUUGCCAAGGAGCUAGAUGGUGCCACUUGGAAAAUAUCUUCCACUGCUUAGCUCUAUUUUAGUGUGCAAAAAAAGAAGAGAAGGUGCAGGUGUAUUUUACAAUAUUGCAUUUGAAUAUUCAGUGGCACCCUGGGAGGUUACUAAGUGCCAGAGAACUUACACAGAGGAUGCUAAGAACUGGAGAAUCUUACCUUCCUCUACACAGGCUACUGCAGUUGCUGCCAUGAUACAGGCCCCUCAGGGGCCACCAUUCUGGUACCCCCUCUAAAUUGGUGCCCAGAUUUGUUCACCUACGAUGCAUCCAGAAUUAGGCAGUAGCUGAGCCACAUGGUUUUGGACUGCAAUUCUGGGCUUAGGCACAGGCAUAGUCUUUCUGUAGUAUAACACGACCCCAUUAUGGAAUGGUUCCAUAAUCAAGAUAUGAGACGAAAUGCUGUAUUAAAAGACUGAGGUGCCUUUUUAAAUACUAGGGGUAAGUUGCAUGAGCAAAACUAUUAUUAUAAAAUGGUAUUCUAAAAAAAUAUAAAUGUUCUUUCCUUUUAUCCUAUUUAUCUUCAUUACUGACAAGCACUGUAAUUUUUUUUUUGUGGAAUAUGUAGUCAGUUUAAUAUAGUACCCAAUAAAAUCUUACAUCCAUAUGUUACUUUAUAACAUAUGAGAUCUAUAAAAUACUUCCUUUAUAAUUUUCUUUUCAAAAUAGAUGUCAUUUUAUCUGUCUUCCUAAACACAUACUUCUCUUCAAGUGUCUCUCUGCUGAUAUAAUGGCUUCUACUUCUUACAUUAAGCAUGAUCUUGCCAUGGGACCUAGACAGAAAGCCACGGACUGACUAUUUUGCAAACCUUUUUGGGAAACAAAAGCAGACUGUGUAUUUUCUGAGAUAACACUAAUGCAGACAGAAGAAAAUAUGGAUUCUUACACUACACCAGUAAGACCCUUCUUUCCUGCUUUACCACCAAGGAUUGCCAGAUGUCUGCUGAUGAAAUGGUACCAUAGUGACAGUUCCUGGUGG